GUUCCGCCUGGGGAGUACGCACGCAAGUGUGAAACUCAAAGGAAUUGACGGGGGCCCGCACAAGCGGUGGAGUAUGUGGUUUAAUUCGAUGCAACGCGAAGAACCUUACCAGGGUUUGACAUCCUGCGAACCUCUAAGAAAUUAGAGGGUGCCUUCGGGAACGCAGUGACAGGUGGUGCAUGGCUGUCGUCAGCUCGUGUCGUGAGAUGUUGGGUUAAGUCCCGCAACGAGCGCAACCCACGUUUUUAGUUGCCAGCAUUUAGUUGGGCACUCUAGAAAGACCGCCGGUGAUAAACCGGAGGAAGGUGUGGAUGACGUCAAGUCAUCAUGCCCCUUACAUCCUGGGCUACACACGUACUACAAUGCUACGGACAAAGGGCAGCAAACUCGCGAGAGCUAGCAAAUCCCAUAAACCGUGGCUCAGUUCAGAUCGUAGGCUGCAACUCGCCUACGUGAAGUAGGAAUCGCUAGUAAUCGCAGGUCAGCAUACUGCGGUGAAUACGUUCCCGGGCCUUGUACACACCGCCCGUCACACCAUGGAAGUUGGCCAUGCCCGAAGUCGUUACUUUAACCCUUGUGGAGAAGGACGCCGAAGGUGGGGCUGAUGACUGGGGUGAAGUCGUAACAAGGUA
RNAcentral lists this ribosomal RNA (632 nucleotides) under uncultured marine bacterium. Its description in RNAcentral is "bacterial SSU rRNA". It matches the Rfam family "Bacterial small subunit ribosomal RNA", at positions 866 to 1498 of the family's 1533-position model. The record is from RNAcentral.